UACAGAGGUCCCAAGCGUUGUUCGGAUUUACUGGGCGUAAAGGGUGCGUAGGUGGUCAGGUAAGUCUGAUGUGAAAUCUUCGAGCUCAACUCGAAAACUGCAUCGGAUACUAUCUGGCUAGAGGAAUGGAGGGGAGACUGGAAUACUUGGUGUAGCAGUGAAAUGCGUAGAUAUCAAGUGGAACACCAGUGGCGAAGGCGAGUCUCUGGACAUUUCCUGACGCUGAGGCACGAAAGCCAGGGGAGCAAACGGG
Molecule: ribosomal RNA, 253 nt
Filed under: uncultured bacterium
Lineage: Bacteria
Description: partial 16S ribosomal RNA
Rfam family: Bacterial small subunit ribosomal RNA
Source: RNAcentral